UGGGGAAUAUUAGUCAAUGGGGGAAACCCUGAACUAGCAACGCCGCGUGAAGGAAGAAGGUCUUCGGAUUGUAAACUUUUGUCUUCAGGGAAGAAAUAAAUGACGGUACCUGAGGAGGAAGCCACGGCUAACUACGUGCCAGCAGCCGCGGUAAUACGUAGGUGGCAAGCGUUGUCCGGAAUUACUGGGUGUAAAGGGUGCGUAGGCGGGUAUGUAAGUCAGGUGUGAAAUUCCGAGGCUCAACUUCGGAACUGCAUUUGAAACUACAUAUCUUGAGUGAAGGAGAGGUAAGUGGAAUUCCCAGUGUAGCGGCGAAAUGCGUAGAUAUUGGGAGGAACACCAGUGGCGAAGGCGACUUACUGGACUUUAACUGACGCUGAUGCACGAAAGCGUGGGUAGCAAACA
Molecule: ribosomal RNA, 405 nt
Filed under: uncultured bacterium
Lineage: Bacteria
Description: bacterial SSU rRNA
Rfam family: Bacterial small subunit ribosomal RNA
Source: RNAcentral